This 253-nucleotide ribosomal RNA is filed under the name uncultured bacterium. RNAcentral describes it as "partial 16S ribosomal RNA". It matches the Rfam family "Bacterial small subunit ribosomal RNA", at positions 524 to 776 of the family's 1533-position model. The record is from RNAcentral.
UACAGAGGGGGCAAGCGUUGUUCGGAAUUACUGGGCGUAAAGGGCGCGUAGGCGGCCUGUUAAGUCGAACGUGAAAUCCCCGGGCUCAACCCGGGAACUGCGUCCGAUACUGGCAGGCUUGAAUCCGGGAGAGGGAUGCGGAAUUCCAGGUGUAGCGGUGAAAUGCGUAGAUAUCUGGAGGAACACCGGUGGCGAAGGCGGCAUCCUGGACCAACAUUGACGCUGAGGAGCGAAAGCUAGGGGAGCAAACGGG